ACCGACCUCCCGCCCCCGCUGCGCGCGUUUCUGGCCCUGCCAGUGUCUCCGCCGGUUGAAAGCGCGUGUCUGCGUCGGGUUCUGUUGGAGUGCGUUCGGUGCGCCGUGGGUCCGCGCUGCUUCCACCCAACUUCCUGUUAGUUUCUCUCCUGUCACAAUGGCAUGAUCUCGGCUCACUGCGACCUCUGCUUCCUGGGUUCAAGGAUUCUCCUGCCUCAGCCUCCCAAGUAGCUGGGAUUACAGUUUCCAUCAUUAUCUUCUAUGGAGUUCUUCAUUCCCACAUCUGUGGACCUUAAAAUCCUACCGUUGAGUGCCUGCCUUGGAUCAGCAGUCAGUUCGUUACCUUGGUUCUCAGACGAUGCUUGCAACAACGCCAUGCGAUUCGCCCACUCUUGGGUAGGUGGAGACAUUGGGGCUCAGGUGUGGGUAAGUGAUUGUGUGACUCCUUGUUAAGCGGCAGAACCGGGACUCAAAUUCACACAGAUCUGAUUCCAAACCCUGUGGCCCUAAGCAUAGUGUUAUUAGACAAUAAGCCCUCUGCAGGGAGAUUUCCAGUGCUGAUGGCAGGGUCUGUCAUGAAGGAGGACUCUGCUGAAUUUUUCUUUGAACCCCAGGAAGUGCCUGGCACAGUUCUCUGAAGAAAUUAGAAUGCAGCCAGUGGUUACUAAAGAAAUGAAUAAGUCAAGUAAAUGGACAGAGCUGUGUGCUAAGAGUUCUUUUGGGACACAGAAAUGGGUCAGAAUUGGAAAUGUCCAGAAAAUACUCUUGGAUAAUUAUGAAAGCUACAUAUAGGAGCUCAGGUUUAACUCCAUAUGAAAUGAAGAGUCACAAAAGAAAAGGAGGAGGAGCGUGUUCAGGCGGAACCUCAAGCUUGAGAGUGCUAUGAAAUAUGUUUGAGACUCAGAAAACAGUUCCUGAAAGAAAUGACACAUUAAUGAAUGAAGGUAUAGUUAUUUGGAGAAAAUGAACCUAGAUAUAAGAGUAACCAUAUCAAAAUGUGUUUCUUUAACUGCGGUCUUCAGAACCUAUGAGGUUCAUUGGUAUAUUCUUGGGAACUAUGUGUGUUUGAGAAACAUAUUUCUGGCGCCAAACUGACAGUCACCUCAAAUCCAUCACAGCACUUAUGAUGAAUUCUUUUCAAGUUAAAUGCUGUAAAGAAAAUACUUCUCUUUUUUACUGUUAAUUCACAAUUUAAAAGUGUUUUCUUACUGAACUACAUGUUGGUCCCUCAGAUAAGGAUUUCUCGAGUCUCAGGUCUUUGGGGUCUUUGAGGAGUGUGACUUCUCAAAUUGGAUGACACUGAUCUAACUGGCUGUAGUAUCCAUUCAAGCAUGAGGGAGGUCAGAGCCUGGGAAAGCUCAGGUCCAAACAGCUCUUGAAAGAGGACGUUGCAGGGCAGGCUGCUUUGCACAAAGGGACCUGUAGACACUGAGAACAUCAGUAUACCAGGAACCAGCCCACCCUUUCACUCUGCCAGACAUGAGGCUGUGGGUUACCCAUCUUUCCCUGUCUCCUGAACUCAUAGCAAAAACAAAAAACUUCACUUGUUUGUUAACACAUAUAGUUCAAGACGGAAGGGCCUACACUGAAGCAGAAAGGAUUGAGGUUUAUCAGCAUCUUCGCUUUGAGGCCUCAUAAUGUACUUCCCAUGGACUAAAGUUGUUCACUUUCUUUAGAGGAUAUUAGCUAAAGAUGUGGUAAAACCACAUUUUUGCAGAAAAGUGAAUAUUCAAAAACAAAUGUAUAUGGUGA
This is a long non-coding RNA of Homo sapiens (human), 1752 nucleotides long. Ensembl annotates it as long intergenic non-protein coding RNA 1128. The record is from Ensembl. Lineage: Eukaryota; Metazoa; Chordata; Mammalia; Primates; Hominidae.